AGUGGCGGACGGGUGAGUAACGCGUGAGAAUCUGCCUUGGGGUCGGGGACAACCACUGGAAACGGUGGCUAAUACCGGAUAAGCCGAUUGGUGAAAGAUUUAUUGCCCGAAGAGGAGCUCGCGUCUGAUUAGCUAGUUGGUGAGGUAAGAGCUCACCAAGGCAGCGAUCAGUAGCUGGUCUGAGAGGACGAUCAGCCACACUGGGACUGAGACACGGCCCAGACUCCUACGGGAGGCAGCAGUGGGGAAUUUUCCGCAAUGGGCGAAAGCCUGACGGAGCAAGACCGCGUGAGGGAGGAAGGCUCUUGGGUUGUAAACCUCUUUUCUCAGGGAAGAAGCUCUGACGGUACCUGAGGAAUCAGCCUCGGCUAACUCCGUGCCAGCAGCCGCGGUAAUACGGAGGAGGCAAGCGUUAUCCGGAAUUAUUGGGCGUAAAGCGUCCGCAGGUGGCGAUUCAAGUCUGCUGUCAAAGCACGGGGCUUAACUCCGUAAAGGCAGUGGAAACUGAAUAGCUAGAGUGCCGUAGGGGUAGAGGGAAUUCCCGGUGUAGCGGUGAAAUGCGUAGAGAUCGGGAAGAACAUCGGUGGCGAAAGCGCUCUACUGAACGGCAACUGACACUCAGGGACGAAAGCUAGGGGAGCGAAUGGGAUUAGAUACCCC
RNAcentral lists this ribosomal RNA (660 nucleotides) under uncultured bacterium. Its description in RNAcentral is "bacterial SSU rRNA". It matches the Rfam family "Bacterial small subunit ribosomal RNA", at positions 94 to 788 of the family's 1533-position model. The record is from RNAcentral.